UCCAGGCAGGGAGCCAUAAUAGAGUACAGUAGGCCUAAUACAUCUCUAAACGCACAAUUUCUCUUCCAAUAACUUUGCCCUCAGCUGACGCUCCAAGGGUUGCUGUGCAUCGGUAUCUGCAAAUCGAAUCUUUCCACUUUUAUGUUGAGUGGCAAGAAAAUGUGUUUGUACUAGUGAAUUUUACGAGUUCGGCUAUAUACUCGUCUACUGAAUAUUUUAUGACACAAUACAGUUUUACGGUGGUGGACAGUACUAAAGGAUUUCAUUUCCGAAAAUCUUCAAUCUGUUUGACCGAUCAAAAUGCGCAUUUGGCACCUUCAACGAUUUCCUCAGCAUGUUUUCAUCAUACCAGCAUUCAUCGCACUUGUCUCUUUGACAGGUAAU
Molecule: long non-coding RNA, 384 nt
Organism: Lytechinus variegatus (green sea urchin)
Lineage: Eukaryota; Metazoa; Echinodermata; Echinoidea; Temnopleuroida; Toxopneustidae
Exons: 3
Source: RefSeq, a predicted model, not a curated record